UCUGGGGAGUCGAUUUAAAUUACUCAGUUCGUUUGUUUCUGGUUUAGUUCAUCUGUUUAAGCAUCGUUAAUUAUUUGUAUGGUUUGAUGAUUGGAUUGCCAUUUUACAUUUGUACUUGGAGACGACACUAUGUGGACUUAUUUAUCUUCACUUCUUUCAUAUUGUCCUUUCCUAUUUUCUUUUUCAAAUUUCAAUGCAAUCAUGCUUUCCAUUUAAUUGGCACUAAAGACCAUCUGAAAAACUUAAUUUGAACGUGAUUAUAAUUUCUGCAAUACUAACUAUCAGAAUGUUUGAGAACGUAAGAAAUCAUCUCUUUAGUCUAUAAAGCCUGUGGUCUAUAAUUGAACAUGAGUGUGAUGCAGUGGAAGAAUAAUUGUUCUUGUUAUUGUAGUAGAAGAAAGAGACCAAAUUGCCAUAAUCCUUACAGAGAUAAGGAUGGCUGUAUGUUAUUAGAAAAUUCAACAAUUAAUGUAUUAUGAAUUAGUACGAUAAAUAUUCUUUAGCCAUUAUAAUCUAAUUAAUUAUAAUCUCUAAAGUGUGGCUACUAGUUGGAGUAUAGUGAUUUAAUUUGUUGUUCAAACUCACUAAAAUUCUUUGAAUUCAUUGAGAUUCUCAGAUGAAAAAAAACCAGAAAAAGGUUCACUGAAAUUCUUCCUUCCUUUCUUUUCCUUGAUUUUAUAGAACAAUCAAUAGAAGUGCAUUAAGGACCCCUUUCUUAGCAGUGUUAUUAGUGUUAUAUUAUUGGACACAGUUUGUGCUUAGAAUCUGAAUUGUUCAGAAAUACUUGGAAGAAAAUUAAAGCAUUAUUUAGCUUUCUGUUCCUUUGAAAAUCAUGCAGCAGUUCGCAUAUACUGUAUCACGCUUGAAGCUAGUUAAACAAAAGUAUUGUCAC
This 892-nucleotide unclassified non-coding RNA is filed under the name Hevea brasiliensis (rubber tree). Lineage: Eukaryota; Viridiplantae; Streptophyta; Magnoliopsida; Malpighiales; Euphorbiaceae. The record is from RNAcentral.